UUAGCGUUUAGUAUUUACACCGGUGACGGUGGACAGACGGAGAGGCAGAGGAGCGGCUGCCGACCGACGUUUGACCCACGACAGUAUAUGAGAGCUGCUGUGUGCAGAGAGAGAGAGAGAGAGGAGCUGAACAACAUGGAGCCUCGAUCACAGUGACCGGAUCACGUCUCCUGUCGGCCUGAAUGUGAAGCAGUCGGAAUCUUUAUUCUGACUGAAUCGAGUUAGUUUUCACGUAAACUUGCACAAUAGCUGGUCCCACGUUUGCAAUUCCAGAGCCUAUCAUUUCUUUUUUUUUUGUGGGGGGACCAAAACAAAAACUCCCACGGUUUGUACAUUUUUUUUCACACGAUAUUUCAGCAGAAAUGGCAAAUUUUGCUCAUGACACCACUCACUGUAUUUAUUUAUUACAUUUCAGAGCUUUGUGAAGCAAAAGAACAAAAACGAAACAGUUUUUCUUUCUGAAGCAAACAUUAAAAGUUUGGGAAACAGGACACGUUUCACAACACUUGAAAAAUAAAAAGAAUCAACACAACACACGAAGCCUUCAUUAAUUUUUUUCCCAUAUCAAAAGAAAAACCAAAACCCAAACUGUGGCGAUGACAAUCAUAUUCACUUCUUGUCUAUUCUUGCAUGCUUGCAUCUGACAAAUCCGACAACUUCAGACACCUCGAGAGAAAUCUGGGACCUGAGCAAAGUGUCACUGUGUGUCUUGUACCUUUGACGUGAUGGUUUUUUUUUUUCUUUUUUCUGCAUGUCGUUCUCAUGUGAUGGUGACGAGUCGCUCAAACUAACGAUGUUUCUUUUGGGUCCAGUCCAUGACAACUUGGGAUUCACUCGAAAACAAGCCCGCAGCUUAUUAGCCAGAUUGAUUUGGAGAUUUUUUAUUCUUUUUUUAAUUGAAAGUGAGUGCAGACGAAAGGAAGGAAAUGUUUGUCUUUUUCUCGUCCUUUAUAGGAUCAUGUAUUUUUGCGACCGCCUGUCGAGGACCUCGUCCAUCGUGAGGACACAAAGCGAUUGGCCAGACUCUUGUCCAUGA
Molecule: long non-coding RNA, 1036 nt
Filed under: Scophthalmus maximus (turbot)
Lineage: Eukaryota; Metazoa; Chordata; Actinopteri; Pleuronectiformes; Scophthalmidae
Description: lncRNA (ENSSMAG00000028342.1)
Source: RNAcentral